Molecule: non-coding RNA, 189 nt
Filed under: Humidesulfovibrio mexicanus
Lineage: Bacteria; Pseudomonadati; Thermodesulfobacteriota; Desulfovibrionia; Desulfovibrionales; Desulfovibrionaceae
Source: RNAcentral
ACUAUCGCCCUUGCGUCCGGUGCCCCGCCAACGCGGGGUGAAAAGGGAAUCCCGUGCGAACCGGGAGCGGACCCGCCGCCGUGAGCCCCGCGAAUAGUCAGCCCCCAAGCGCGCCACUGGAAGAAUGCUUCCGGGAAGGCCGGGGCCGAUGGGGUGAGCCGGAAGACCUGCCGGACACGUGUCAUGGCU